UUAACCCUGCUGUGUACGUGAUGGUUUGCGCUUUUUGAGCCAACGCCAUCCUUUUGGGAAAAGGCAUACAGCGAGGCGCUGUAGUAGCUGAAAGGCCAGGCAAACCCUCGUGGCAACUCAUUUCCCACCUGCUUAUGCAGGUUCAAAACAAGGCAUCCACACGGCAUGGCGGGGCUGUG
This 179-nucleotide non-coding RNA is filed under the name Anaerolineales bacterium. RNAcentral's name for it is "6S RNA". It matches the Rfam family "6S / SsrS RNA". Rfam says of the family: E. coli 6S RNA was the first non coding RNA to be sequenced, but its function was unknown until recently. It consists of 184 nucleotides that fold into an extended hairpin structure with a large single-stranded internal bulge. RNAcentral also lists the same sequence under 1 other name. Lineage: Bacteria; Bacillati; Chloroflexota; Anaerolineae; Anaerolineales. The record is from RNAcentral.